This 600-nucleotide ribosomal RNA is filed under the name uncultured bacterium. RNAcentral's name for it is "bacterial SSU rRNA". It matches the Rfam family "Bacterial small subunit ribosomal RNA", at positions 744 to 1344 of the family's 1533-position model. The record is from RNAcentral.
CGCUGAGGCACGAAAGCGUGGGUAUCGAACAGGAUUAGAUACCCUGGUAGUCCACGCGGUAAACGAUGAAUACUGGUUAUCCGGCGCUUCGGCGCUGGGUGACUCGAGCGAAAGCAUUAAGUAUUCCACCUGGGGAGUACGCCGGCAACGGUGAAACUCAAAGGAAUUGACGGGGGCCCGCACAAGCGGAGGAACAUGUGGUUUAAUUCGAUGAUACGCGAGGAACCUUACCCGGGCUCAAACGCAUCCGGACUCACGGUGAAAGCCGUGUUCCCUUCGGGGCCUGAUGCGAGGUGCUGCAUGGUUGUCGUCAGCUCGUGCCGUGAGGUGUCGGCUUAAGUGCCAUAACGAGCGCAACCCCCAUCUUCAGUUGCUAGCAAGUAGAGUUGAGCACUCUGGAGAGACUGCCGGCGCAAGCUGUGAGGAAGGCGGGGAUGACGUCAAAUCAGCACGGCCCUUACGUCCGGGGCGACACACGUGUUACAAUGGCGGGGCACAGAAGGAAGCCAGGCAGCGAUGCCGAGCCGAUCCCGAAAACCCGUCUCAGUUCGGAUCGGAGUCUGCAACCCGACUCCGUGAAGCUGGAUUCGCUAGUAAUCG